RNAcentral lists this long non-coding RNA (720 nucleotides) under Capsella rubella. Its description in RNAcentral is "long non-coding RNA (CRUB_LNC004862)". Lineage: Eukaryota; Viridiplantae; Streptophyta; Magnoliopsida; Brassicales; Brassicaceae. The record is from RNAcentral.
UGUAUCUCAGUGAGUCAAUACCAAUAAGUAUCACGAGCCUCCAAAAAGUGUUGAACGCGAAAGAUUAAUGAACAAAAAAAUGUCUUGCAUAAUAGUGUUUACGUGAUAUUUUCUUUAUUUACGUUCACACAAAAAAAUAAAAAUAAAUCAGCCACAACAUAUAUGCAUAUUUAUUUGAUCGUUUUAGCUUAUUUAUUGUAGGAUUUAGAAUAACAUAUUUAAUCGUUUUAUUAGCUUCUUUAUUUUCAAAAUCUGUUGAUUGUACGUGCGAAUCAUAUAUCUCAAGCUUGUUGCACCAAGAAUCGUAACUAUAAACUGAUAAAAGAGACCGAGACGAUGCAAAACCAGAAAGCAAAAAGUGAAAGUUUGAUUAAGACUAGAAAAGAAACAAAACUAAUUAUAAGAUAUAUGUAUCCAAAUAUUUAUUUGUUAGAUAUUUUUCUUUAAAACCUAAAAUGUGAGCGUUAAUGCUGUCGACGAAAAUUUCAUUGCGAAGUAGGGACCAUAAUGAUAUGGAAGUGAUCUUCUCUGCUUCAUUAAUCUCUAUUUUUAAAAAAAAAAAACAUCCAUGACCAAUUCUUUCCAAUCUAUUUUAUUUUUAUAAUUUUUUUUUUCGUUAAUUUAUUUAUAUAAAUUUCCAUCAACCGAAAGAGCUUUUUCUUUUGGAAUUUGCUUUACUUCUUUUUCAUGCUCUUUCAACCGUCAAAGUAACGUCUCUCG